AGUCGAGCGCACCUUCGGGUGAGCGGCGGACGGGUUAGUAACGCGUGGGAACAUACCCUUUGGUACGGAAUAGCCUCUGGAAACGGAGAGUAAUACCGUAUGAGCCCUUCGGGGGAAAGAUUUAUCGCCAAAGGAUUGGCCCGCGUUAGAUUAGGUAGUUGGUGGGGUAAUGGCCUACCAAGCCUACGAUCUAUAGCUGGUUUUAGAGGAUGAUCAGCAACACUGGGACUGAGACACGGCCCAGACUCCUACGGGAGGCAGCAGUGGGGAAUCUUGGACAAUGGGGGCAACCCUGAUCCAGCCAUGCCGCGUGAGUGAUGAAGGCCUUAGGGUCGUAAAGCUCUUUCGCCUGUGAAGAUAAUGACGGUAGCAGGUAAAGAAACCCCGGCUAACUCCGUGCCAGCAGCCGCGGUAAUACGGAGGGGGUUAGCGUUGUUCGGAAUUACUGGGCGUAAAGCGCACGUAGGCGGACUGGAAAGUUGGGGGUGAAAUCCCAGGGCUCAACCCUGGAACUGCCUCCAAAACUAUCAGUCUAGAGUUCGAGAGAGGUGAGUGGAAUUCCGAGUGUAGAGGUGAAAUUCGUAGAUAUUCGGAGGAACACCAGUGGCGAAGGCGGCUCACUGGCUCGAUACUGACGCUGAGGUGCGAAAGUGUGGGGAGCAAACAGGAUUAGAUACCCUGGUAGUCCACACCGUAAACGAUGAAUGCCAGUCGUCGGGUAGCAUGCUAUUCGGUGACACACCUAACGGAUUAAGCAUUCC
This 761-nucleotide ribosomal RNA is filed under the name Ruegeria sp. Rg186. Its description in RNAcentral is "bacterial SSU rRNA". It matches the Rfam family "Bacterial small subunit ribosomal RNA", at positions 60 to 870 of the family's 1533-position model. The record is from RNAcentral. RNAcentral also lists the same sequence under 1 other name. Lineage: Bacteria; Pseudomonadati; Pseudomonadota; Alphaproteobacteria; Rhodobacterales; Roseobacteraceae.